Molecule: ribosomal RNA, 300 nt
Filed under: uncultured Candidatus Korobacter sp.
Lineage: Bacteria; Pseudomonadati; Acidobacteriota; Terriglobia; Terriglobales; Candidatus Korobacteraceae
Description: bacterial SSU rRNA
Rfam family: Bacterial small subunit ribosomal RNA
Source: RNAcentral
ACGUGACUAACCUACCUCCGAAUGGGGAAUAACAUCGGGAAACCGAUGCUAAUACCGCAUAACAUCUACGGAUCAAAGCAGCAAUGCGUUUGGAGAGGGGGUCGCGGCUGAUUAGCUAGUUGGUAAGGUAAUGGCUUACCAAGGCGACGAUCAGUAUCCGGCCUGAGAGGGCGCACGGACACACUGGAACUGAAACACGGUCCAGACUCCUACGGGAGGCAGCAGUGGGGAAUUUUGCGCAAUGGGGGAAACCCUGACGCAGCAACGCCGCGUGGAGGAUGAAGGUCUUUGGAUUGUAAA